CCAGCUUGUGCUCACCUGGACUAUUCCACCAAGCAGAGGUGGAAAGCAGCGGGGCACCACUUUCUUUAUAUUAGACAAGUCAAUUACCAGGGUGGAUCCAGUGCUUCGCCAUCGAUGCAAAAUAUAGUUUUUGUGUGAAAACCAACCAAAAUUUCAACAAAUAUUAGAUCUAAACCUAUAAUUUUAAGAAUAGGUUAGUUAAAUGCUAAGAACCUUAAACGUCGAACCUAUCAAAGUUAAAAUCAUAGAUCUACCUUUGGAAAUUACUAGCUAAAAUGCUUGGCAUGCAACUCUCCGAAAACUUAAAGAUUAUGAUAACUUAUGAGAUUAAUUUAGUACAUAUAUAACAAAAAUACAGCAUUUGUUCAUACUUGGCCUCGACAAGCUUUCAUAUUCUAAAACUGGUCAAUGACAGUCCACACAAAGAUGCUUCCGUAUUUGUUCUAGGGUUGAGUACUAAUCGGAUGUAAUUAUUAAAUAAAUUAGUCCCAUAAAACUAACAAUGACAGUCCACACAAAGAUGCUUCACUAUUUGUUUAAUACAAUUUUACAAAUAAAUAAUUCGUUAUUGUGGUAAUAUUUAUUAUUCAACUCAAUUAAAUAAUAAUUCUAGUUCCUACUAAUUUGUGAAAAACAAAAAUCAUAAAAGAAUCAAAGUCAAAAUAUGCUUGAAUAAGUAGAAUCCAUAUUAGUCAUUAGAAAGAGGUGAAAAGAACUUUACAAAGUUAUAGGGAUAGGUCUAACAAAUGCCGCUGCCAAGGGGUGAGGAAGGUCGGGUCUCGCCAGAUGCCGACUGCUUUCUGUAGUUGAAUAUGACUGAGAUAAGAGUGGAUUAUGAACCAUGACCUAGGUAAGGAUUUCUGUUGAUUACAAGAAAAGGCGGAAAAGAAGCUUGACUAUACUAACUUGUUGACUGCAAAAAGAUUUUUUUUCUUUAAAAAGGAAAUUAGAUUUUGUUUACUGUCAUAAGUCAAAAAGAAAUUAGCUGCUGGACUUGGGGUUCAAACUCCGGUUAUCAGAAACCCUAAAACACUUGAGCAAGCACAUUUGUUGAUGAGGGUCAAGUUCUAUGAUAAAUACACAUAUAGAUACAAAAUUUUAAGUUUUACGAUAAAUACACAUAUAUAUAUACAGAAUUUUUGCCAAGGUUUACAGGUGCCGGUGAACCCUUUAUGUUUAACAUAGUUCCACCUUUGCCACCAGAUACCUCCUACUUCCUACCAAUACAGGUACGGGUAACUCUACGGACCAAGGCUUAAAGCUUGUUUGGAUGGUUGUUCCCCGUUGUAUCGUAAUGUAUAUCCCAAAAAAAUAUUUGUUUUGAUUGUUUCAUUAAAAUUGGUUGUAUUGUAUUGUUAAAUUGUUUCAUUAAAAUUGGUUGUGUUGUAUUGUUAAAUCCAUUGUUCCGGAACAAUGAAAAGUUCCCUUUUUUUAAACAACCGAUUUGGUAUGCUGAGAUUGUUUCCUAUUUUUCUUUUCAAUUAUGCCCUAACUUAUUACUCCACAAUUCUAUUUUAUCAUUUACCUUUUUUUUCUAUUUUAACUCCAAAUCUCCAACCUAUAACCUACUUUGUUUUUUUUCCGGAACUGCUGCCAUCGUUAAAGGUGUUUUGCCGCGUUCUGUUUUUUUUCUCCUAAUUUGCUUUUAACUCAAUUCUAACUCAAUUCUAAUAUGAUACAAUACAAUACAAUACAAUACAUUGUAAAACGACGGGAACAAUGAUCCAAACAGAGUGUUAAGAAAAAUAGAAAUAGAUAAUAAAAAGAAAGCUCUUUUAUAGCAUCAAUACAUCAGCUACUGCAAAUUUGCUAUAAACCCAUAUAACCAACAAAAAAAAAAGAAAAGCGAAAAUACGACACAACAACAUUAAUCAGCAAAAAUGACAAAAAUUGUCAAGCUUCAAACUAACAACAUAUACCAAAAAACAGUUCUAGUUGCCACAGAGUUCUGUCUAGAGAGCAAGAGAAGGUUGGGGAUUGGUGGCGGUGAAGACAUAGAGGAGAACUUACAAAAUUGAUUUUGCCGGGCCGGCAAAAGAGAUAGUGAGUUCGGCGUCUGCUUUAGAGUGAGGGUGAAGAAAAAAGCUC
RNAcentral lists this long non-coding RNA (2088 nucleotides) under Nicotiana tabacum (common tobacco). Its description in RNAcentral is "long non-coding RNA (NTAB_LNC013236)". Lineage: Eukaryota; Viridiplantae; Streptophyta; Magnoliopsida; Solanales; Solanaceae. The record is from RNAcentral.